RNAcentral lists this ribosomal RNA (454 nucleotides) under uncultured Thiobacillus sp. RNAcentral describes it as "bacterial SSU rRNA". It matches the Rfam family "Bacterial small subunit ribosomal RNA", at positions 923 to 1382 of the family's 1533-position model. Lineage: Bacteria; Pseudomonadati; Pseudomonadota; Betaproteobacteria; Nitrosomonadales; Thiobacillaceae. The record is from RNAcentral.
GCACAAGCGGUGGAUGAUGUGGAUUAAUUCGAUGCAACGCGAAGAACCUUACUACCCUUGACAUGUCCGGAACUUGCCAGAGAUGGCUUGGUGCCCGAAAGGGAAUCGGAACACAGGUGCUGCAUGGCUGUCGUCAGCUCGUGUCGUGAGAUGUUGGGUUAAGUCCCGCAACGAGCGCAACCCUUAUCAUUAGUUGCUACGCAAGGGCACUCUAAUGAGACUGCCGGUGACAAACCGGAGGAAGGUGGGGAUGACGUCAAGUCCUCAUGGCCCUUAUGGGUAGGGCUUCACACGUCAUACAAUGGUCGGUACAGAGGGUUGCCAAGCCGCGAGGCGGAGCCAAUCCCACAAAGCCGACCGUAGUCCGGAUUGUUCUCCGCAACUCGAGAGCAUGAAGUCGGAAUCGCUAGUAAUCGCAGGUCAGCAUACUGCGGUGAAUACGUUCCCGGGUCUU